This 381-nucleotide ribosomal RNA is filed under the name uncultured eukaryote. RNAcentral describes it as "partial 18S ribosomal RNA". It matches the Rfam family "Eukaryotic small subunit ribosomal RNA", at positions 592 to 976 of the family's 1831-position model. The record is from RNAcentral.
CAAUAGCGUAUAUUAAAGCUGUUGCGGUUAAAAAGCUCGUAGUUGGAUUUCUGUCAAGGACAACUGGUCCGCCCUCCGGGUGAGCACAUAGUUUGGUCUUGGCAUCUUGCUGGAAGCUGUUGCUGCACUCGGCUGUGUGGCGCAGCGUCCAGCACUUUCACUUUGAGGAAAUUGGAGUGUUUCAAGCAGGCACAUGCCUUUGGACACAGUAGCAUGGAAUAAUUAGAUUGGGCUUUUGCUCCAAUUUGUCGGUUUCUGGAGCUGAGGUGAGAAUUAAUGGGGAUUGUUGGGGGCAUCCGAAUUUAGCCGUCAGAGGUGAAAUUCUUGGAUCUGCUAAAGACGGACAACUGCGAAAGCGUUUGCCCAGGAUGUUUUCAUUGA